This 266-nucleotide long non-coding RNA is filed under the name Hordeum vulgare. RNAcentral describes it as "long non-coding RNA (HVUL_LNC012668)". The record is from RNAcentral. Lineage: Eukaryota; Viridiplantae; Streptophyta; Magnoliopsida; Poales; Poaceae.
CCUAGUUGCGAUGGCAUCACACCUAAGUCCUUUCACGAGGACAUCUUCCAUGACAAAACCAUGACACACAAGGUCAAAGAAUCUACCCCCAUUCCAUCAAUACAUGGGUAGCGUUGAAGGAAUAUUUUAUCAAGAAUUUCCAAGGCACUUGCAAGCGUACCAUGAUGAUUGUUGACUUACAACAUUGCUUCUAGCAUACGGAUGAGUCUGGCCAUCACUGGAUUCAUCGGUCGCAAAUCUCAUCCACUACUCUGAUAACAUCACAC